UCGCCAUAGCGUGCAUUUGUACCUACAUCAUCUCUAAGUCAUGAAGUUUUCAACUCUUUCCAUGGUGGUGAUGGCGUUGCUCGCGAUGUAUGUCGGCGCUGAUCACGUCAACCCUUCGCCUAAUUGGCAAAAAAUCAAAAUCAUAAGCAAAUUGACAAAGCUGAACAGCAUACAAAGUGGACACCAACAUCAAGAAUAGAGAUUAAGAAACUCUAACAAUGUUAACUUCUCAUUUAUAUUCAAAAAUCGAAUGUAAUUAACUACUUAAGUAAUAAUAAUGUGACUUAGGUACCUAGAUUUUAUUUAAGUAAAUAAAGCUGUUGAAAGUU
Ostrinia nubilalis (European corn borer) is the source of this 329-nucleotide long non-coding RNA. RefSeq lists it as uncharacterized. The record is from RefSeq and is a predicted model, not a curated record. The transcript has 2 exons. Lineage: Eukaryota; Metazoa; Arthropoda; Insecta; Lepidoptera; Crambidae.